RNAcentral lists this ribosomal RNA (254 nucleotides) under uncultured bacterium. RNAcentral describes it as "partial 16S ribosomal RNA". It matches the Rfam family "Bacterial small subunit ribosomal RNA", at positions 524 to 776 of the family's 1533-position model. The record is from RNAcentral.
UACGAAGGGAGCAAGCGUUGUCCGGAUUUAUUGGGCGUAAAGAGCUCGUAGGCGGCUUGGCAAGUCGGGUGCGAAACCUCCAGGCUCAACCUGGAGACGCCACUCGAUACUGCUAUGGCUAGAGUCCGGUAGGGGACCACGGAAUUCCUGGUGUAGCGGUGAAAUGCGCAGAUAUCAGGAGGAACACCGGUGGCGAAGGCGGUGGUCUGGGCCGGCACUGACGCUGAGGAGCGAAAGCGUGGGUAGCAAACAGG